This is a long non-coding RNA of Rhododendron vialii, 1522 nucleotides long. RefSeq lists it as uncharacterized. The transcript has 2 exons. The record is from RefSeq and is a predicted model, not a curated record. NCBI's taxonomy places the organism in Eukaryota, Viridiplantae, Streptophyta, Magnoliopsida, Ericales, Ericaceae.
UGGGCUUCAUCGGUGAAGAAUUGAUGUUGAGGCCGUGCGAUCGAUGUUACGGCCGACAGAUGGAUUCUCCUAGGAUAUUGUAUUUCUAUCUGGAAGGCUAUAUGGCUCUGGAUUGGGUCCUCUAAGUGGCUCAAAGUUCUUACCAUAAGUCCAUGGUUUCACGAGAAGUCAAUCAGCAAUCACUGUAUCCAUACCAUCAUCGGGAUGGUCCCCAAGGUGGGACUUGAAAUAAUUGUUAGGCCAAAUUGGGGUGUCUACAGAUGCCCCUCUUUGACUGAACUUAGAAGGAUCGCGAGACAUGUUUAAGUAAGAGUCAAAGCUGUAAAAGCAACUCAAUUUGGUCCAACCACUAUUCCAAAGGUUUUUUGAAAAAGGUUUUUGUUAUGGUCGAGCCAGGAGGUUGGCUACGUAUUCCACAAGGGAAAUUCAAACCAACCGUAGUUCGGAGGCAAUAAAGAAGUUCAGAGGGUUAGGGACAGAAGAUGUACCUUCGGGCUUUAAAAGCCAUAGUGCAACGUAUCUGGGUUAUACCAGGAUUUUGGUGGAGAGUAGUUAAAGAAGCACGGAGGUGCCGAGGAAGUAUUAACGGAGAGCAUCCUCAGUAUUUUGGGGUAAACCAGUACAUGGUGGGUGAGUCGAUUGCUUUUCAUAAUCAUAUCCUUACUUUGACUGAGGGGAAUUCGGUUGGGUAGCCUAUCCUUGUGAAUGAGCUAGAUGGAAUUGAUAUAAUUGUUCGAAACCAUCUGUUGAGGAUGAAUCGGACGCCGAUUUUUGAGAUAUGGCGGCACGGGACUAAUGUAGAGACCCAUAAUUAUUUUCUCAAAUUUUAAAUGUUUAAUAUGUAUUUGGAUUAUCAAAGUGUGUAUAACAAUGUGGAUAUGAGUUGGGUCAAUGUGAGAUGACUUGUAAGUUGUGGGAGUUGACGUGAUACAAUAGGAGUGAAAGGGUGAAAGUGUUAUUUGUGCUAUAUAAGUCAAAAAAAAAAAAAAAAGGGGAGCAGGAGAUUAUUUUUCUCUCUUUUCCUUUCCUUUCUUUUCUUCUUCUCCAGCAUCUCUCUCGGCUCUCACCUCUCUCACCUUCUCUCUUCGAUUUCAUCGACCACGAGUGAGACUUUUGAAAAAUCCCAAGUACUAAAGUUGUUCUACGCGACGAGAGCUUCCUAUCCAUCGAAGAAAAUUCACGAUCGGAGCACUUCGAAGUUUCCUCCAUGUUCGGGCUUGCUUCUAACCUUCGAGGUACUCGCCAUGGCACUUAGCUUGGAUUGCAUGGAGUGCACAUUGAGACGUCUCUUGAGAGCUUUAUUGGUAUCAUAAAGGAAGUGUUUAUCAUCUAGUCUAAUUCAUGUUGUGUACUUUACUCGCAAUGGAAAGUUGUACUUUUUGAUUAGAAUAUAUGUAAAGCUAUGUGUAAAUUCCUCUCCUUGAUCAUUAUGGAACUCAUUUAAUUGUAAACGUUUGGGAGACUUUAUGUAAAAAAAAAAAAAAAAAAUUUAGAGAGAAGAAGAAGAGACUUUGAUUCUUUA